Molecule: transfer RNA, 101 nt
Filed under: Rhodanobacter sp. ANJX3
Lineage: Bacteria; Pseudomonadati; Pseudomonadota; Gammaproteobacteria; Lysobacterales; Rhodanobacteraceae
Also listed under: 1 other name
Description: tRNA-Ser
Source: RNAcentral
GUCCGAGUGGUUGAAGGAGCACGCCUGGAAAGUGUGUAUACGGUCAAACGUAUCGCGGGUUCGACAAAUUCGUCUGGAACGAAUUUGGACAGCCGCAGGCU